AUUGAACGCUGGCGGCAGGCUUAACACAUGCAAGUCGAGCGGGGUGAUGGUGCUUGCACUAUCACUUAGCGGCGGACGGGUGAGUAAUGCUUAGGAAUCUGCCUAUUAGUGGGGGACAACAUCUCGAAAGGGAUGCUAAUACCGCAUACGUCCUACGGGAGAAAGCAGGGGAUCACUUGUGACCUUGCGCUAAUAGAUGAGCCUAAGUCGGAUUAGCUAGUGGGUGGGGUAAAGGCCUACCAAGGCGACGAUCUGUAGCGGGUCUGAGAGGAUGAUCCGCGACUCUGGGACUGAGGAACGGCCCAGACUCCUACGGGAGGCAGCAGUGGGGAAUAUGGGACGAUGGGGGGAACCCUGAUCCAGCCAUGCCGCGUGUGUGAAGAAGGCCUUAUGGUUGUAAAGCACUUUAAGCGAGGAGGAGGCUCUUUUGGUUAAUACCCAAGAUGAGUGGACGUUACUCGCAGAAUAAGCACCGGCUAACUCUGUGCCAGCCGCCGCAGUAA
This 503-nucleotide ribosomal RNA is filed under the name uncultured bacterium. Its description in RNAcentral is "partial 16S ribosomal RNA". It matches the Rfam family "Bacterial small subunit ribosomal RNA", at positions 30 to 523 of the family's 1533-position model. The record is from RNAcentral.